UCACAGGGAACUGUCCUUGCCCCCAGCAGGAGGGGGCUGUGAUCCCAUUCCCACAAAAGGAUCUCCUGGAUGGACUGCUGGCCCGAACCAGCGCGGUGAAUCCCACGUUAACUUAAAAAACAUUAAAAUGAUAACUUCAUCUCGAGUUACUUUCCUAUUCAUCUAUAGAAUUUCUCAAUUAUGUAUGACUAAUUUUGCACAAAGUCAUUAUUUGGAGCAAUUUGUCUAAGUAUGAGAGGCAACACCUUCAACCUUCCUGGAUGGUGGGUGGGGAAAAUGUCAUAAUCAGUUCUGCUUUGGCAUGAGUUAUUAAGCGGUCACAGGAGUUCAAAGGAGAGAAAUAAUGAACAGCCUGUUUGCAGCCAUGCUGUAAUUGCUGCUGCUGGAGAAGCCUCCUCGUUGGGGGAGAGGACAAGUAGCCGCACGACAGCUCAGAGCAAACCCUCUCCCAUCUUCCCAGGGCACAUUUUGUACACCAGAACAGAGAUCCCAGCUCCGAGAUGCCCAGCUCCAGCCCAGAGGUGUCCCAGCCCCACUGCUCCAGCAGAAGGGAGGGAGGGAACUGAUUACAGAAGAGCUGGAGACAAACAACAAACAGACAAACGUACAAAUUAUUUUCACAUCCACCUCCUAAUUGCUUGUUAAAAACCCUCUAGGAGUGCAGGAUCAAAUGGGACACGUUGCUGGAACAGGGUCUCCCCUUUAUUUGGAAAGGGGGAAAACAGUGGAAGGAAUGAAGUGCAGGGCUGGAGUCGAGUCAGAUGAGUUCAAGUGGUGGCUCUCUGUGUAUCUUAGAAGAUAACCCUGAGAGAAACGAGCAGCUCCUCUUUCCUGUGCCGUGUCUGCCUCCCCUUUUCAAAAGCCCCACCAGCACUUAUUCAAAAGUACUGCAGACUUUGAUGUCUGGAGAUGAAAAGCAGUUUUGAGUGUUUAUGCUUCCAGACCCUGAGUGCCAGCUGGCUCCAGGUGGAAAAACGACCCAAGAAGAAGGAACAUAAAAGUUGCAAAAUCGUUUUUGAAGAGUCUUCCCCCCACCUGAAUCCUGAUGAAAGAUGUUUUUUUUUGCAGAAUGGGAAGGAGCAGCCCUGGCUCCCGAUGCCAGCCUGCCCCGCUCGGCUCUCCCAGAUGAAGAUGUUUAUUCCAGCUCGUCGGGAAGAUUCUCUUGGCGUUGCCUCCAAAGCCAUUAUGCAGGUGAUUAACCCAUUUAUUUUCAGCUGCGUGCCUUGUCAAACGCGGCAGAACAAACGCCAGGGGAUGAAAGCAGAGUUCCCAUUUCGGGGCCGGCCCUUUCUCUCCCCUUUGGGGGAAUUUUGCUGCAAUUGCAGCGAGGAAUUUGCCACAUCUGCUGCAGCUCCUGCAGGCUCCGAGCGCUGCCUGAGCCCGGCUCCGAUGGAAAUGGGGAUUCGGCUGGAUAUUGCAUUUCCUCGGACUUCAAAAUGCAAAUUGCAGCCGGCUUGGACAGAGCCAGCCUUGGAUGUGGGAGCUGCGAUUCCAAAGUUAUUCCAUCAAAUGGGAGUCAGGGAUCCGCAGCUCAGUUUCUGUUCCAGCCGCUGGUUGUGGCGCUAAGGGAGGCAAUAAUCUGUUUAUUCUCCUGUCAUUGUGUUAAUCAGCUUUUAAUUUAAGGCUGUGUCAGGAGUGGUUGGAGAUCUCUGUUGCUGUGAAUACCCGAGCACAGAGAGAUGUGCACGCACUCUGAAAAUGUGCCUGGGAUCAGAUCUCAGGGGCUCCUCUGCUGCUGCCUGAUGGAGAUAUAAUUGGGAGAAUAUAAAGAGAGAUUGUUUGGAGGUAACCAAAGAAACCCUGGCACUAGCCGUGUUUUAAAUCAUCAGCUACCUUGAACACGGGUAAUAAAACACAGUGUAACACAUAUUUUCA
Molecule: long non-coding RNA, 1875 nt
Filed under: Junco hyemalis (dark-eyed junco)
Lineage: Eukaryota; Metazoa; Chordata; Aves; Passeriformes; Passerellidae
Description: lncRNA (ENSJHYG00000005641.1)
Source: RNAcentral